This 404-nucleotide ribosomal RNA is filed under the name uncultured Clostridium sp. Its description in RNAcentral is "bacterial SSU rRNA". It matches the Rfam family "Bacterial small subunit ribosomal RNA", at positions 355 to 776 of the family's 1533-position model. Lineage: Bacteria; Bacillati; Bacillota; Clostridia; Eubacteriales; Clostridiaceae. The record is from RNAcentral. RNAcentral also lists the same sequence under 1 other name.
UGGGGAAUAUUGCACAAUGGGGGAAACCCUGAUGCAGCGACGCCGCGUGAGUGAAGAAGUAUUUCGGUAUGUAAAGCUCUAUCAGCAGGGAAGAUAAUGACGGUACCUGAGUAAGAAGCCCCGGCUAACUACGUGCCAGCAGCCGCGGUAAUACGUAGGGGGCAAGCGUUAUCCGGAUUUACUGGGUGUAAAGGGAGCGUAGACGGCAUGGCAAGUCUGAAGUGAAAGCCCGGGGCUCAACCGCGGGACUGCUUUGGAAACUGUUAAGCUGGAGUGCAGGAGAGGUAAGUGGAAUUCCUAGUGUAGCGGUGAAAUGCGUAGAUAUUAGGAGGAACACCAGUGGCGAAGGCGGCUUACUGGACUGUAACUGACGUUGAGGCUCGAAAGCGUGGGGAGCAAACAGG